RNA transcript from Cercocebus atys (sooty mangabey), 1901 nucleotides. It is a transcript of the gene named 60S ribosomal protein L5 pseudogene, with no coding region annotated. The record is from RefSeq and is a predicted model, not a curated record. NCBI's taxonomy places the organism in Eukaryota, Metazoa, Chordata, Mammalia, Primates, Cercopithecidae. The transcript has a single exon.
CAGGUGAUCUGCCCACCUCAGCCUCCCAAAGUGCUGGGAUGACAUGUGAGCCACUGCAUCCAGCUCGCUGUUCUUUUUUCUAACACUCUGAUUAAGUCUGAACCUUUAACUUUUAUUAUCCUCUGUCUUAAGACAAGAACUAAUGAGGCUGUCCAUGCCAGCAAUUCUCAAACCCAUCAGACCCAAGGCCUCUUUUUAUAUCCUGAGAUAUAAUUAUUUAAAAACUUGCUUAGUCACAUACAUUUUUAAAAAAUCAAUACAAUAUCCUAUUAUAUAAAGGAGAAAAAAAAAAGAAAAAUUUAUGAACAAAUAAGGAACAUUUCAAUAUACAAAUGCUCAGGUACAGUGACAUCAGGAGCUACGUCUAAGUAGUAUCAGUGUGAAUUCAGUAGUUAUACAUGCACACUGAUAUGAGCAGAGACAUUACUGUAUAGUAAAGUUCUAAACAAAACAAAGAACAAUAUCCUCUCAAUUGAAAAGGUAACUGCAUUUCUGAAAAAUUUAGCAUAUAUUUAAUUUCUGUUUAGAUAAAAAAUAUUUUUAGCCCUUUUCCCCCAGCUAGCGCCGCGGGGCCUGCAGGUCUCUGUCGAGCCACGGACGCCGGUCUCUGUUCCGCAGGAUAGGGUUUGUUAAAGUUGUUAAGAAUAAGGCCUACUUUAAGAGAUACCAAGUGAAAUUUAGAAGACGACGAGAGGGUAAAACUGAUUACUAUGCUCAGAAACGCUUGGUGAUAUAGGAUAAAAAUAAAUACAACACACCCAAAUACAGGAUGACAGUUCGUGUAACAAACAGAGAUAUCGUUUGUCAGAUUGCUUAUGCCCAUAUAGAGGGGGAUAUGAUAGUCUGCGCAGCAUAUGCACACGAACUGCCAAAAUAUGGUGUGAAGGUUGGCCUGACAAAUGAUGCUGCACCGUAUUGUCCUGGCCUGCUGCUGGCCCGCAGCCUUCUCAAUAGGUUUGGCAUGGCUAAGAUCUAUGAAGGCCAAGUGGAGGUGACUGGCGAUGAAUACAAGGUGGAAAGCAUUGAUUGUCAGCCAGGUGCCUUUACCUGCUAUUUGGAUGCAGGCCUUGCCAGAACUACCACUGACAAUAAAGUUUUUGGCACCCUGAAGGGAGCUGUGGAUGGAGGCUUGUCUAUCCCUCACAGUACCAAACGAUUCCCUGGUUAUGAUUCUGAAAGCAAGGAAUAUAAUGCAGAAGUACACCGGAAGCGCAUCAUGGGCCCGAAUGUUGCAGAUUACAUGCGCUACUUAAUGGAAGAAGAUGAAGAUGCUUACAAGAAACAGUUCUCUCAAUACAUAAAGAACAGCGUAACUCCAGACAUGAUGGAGAUGUAUAAGAAAGCUCAUGCUGCUAUACGAGAGAAUCCAGUCUAUGAAAAGAAGCCAAGAAGUUAAAAAGAAGAGGUAGAACCGUCCCAAAAUGUCCCUUGCUCAGAAGAAGGAUCGGGUAGCUCAAAAGAAGCCAAGCUUCCUCAGAGCUCAGGAGUGGGGUGCUGAGAGCUAAACCAAACAAUUUUCUAUCAUGAUUUUUCAGAUAUAGGCAAUAAACUUACAGACAGAAAAAAAAUAUAUAUAUUUUUAGAGUCCAGUAAUAUAAACACUUUUUCACCCCCAAAAUGUCAGGUCAGAUGUUCUAAAGUCACAGCCACAAGUGACAAUUCUUCACAGUAUGAGACUAUCCUACGCCUUGCAAGGUAUCUAGUAUCCCUGGCCUUUGUCCUAUUUCAUGUACAUUUCACUUUUUUCCCAUACUAGCUUCUUUCAGUUAAAGUUCUUGAUGUGAUCGUCCACUCAGAUAUCUGCCUCUUUUAAACGGGAGUCAUUUAAAGACUCCAGUUUCUCUCUUUUUUUAAAUUUCUAAAUUUUUCAUUUUUUGAGACAGUCCUGUUCUGUUGACCAG